RNAcentral lists this ribosomal RNA (254 nucleotides) under uncultured bacterium. RNAcentral describes it as "partial 16S ribosomal RNA". It matches the Rfam family "Bacterial small subunit ribosomal RNA", at positions 524 to 776 of the family's 1533-position model. The record is from RNAcentral.
UACGAAGGGGGCUAGCGUUGCUCGGAAUCACUGGGCGUAAAGGGUGCGUAGGCGGGUCUUUAAGUCAGGGGUGAAAUCCUGGAGCUCAACUCCAGAACUGCCUUCGAUACUGGCGAUCUUCGAGUCCGGGAGAGGUGAGUGGAACUCCGAGUGUAGAGGUGAAAUUCGUAGAUAUUCGGAAGAACACCAGUGGCGAAGGCGGCUCACUGGCCCGGUACUGACGCUGAGGUGCGAAAGCGUGGGGAGCAAACAGG